ACACAUUACAGCCAAUCAGCAGCAGACCCUCCCUCCCAGACCCUGCCACCUCCUGGACAGCAUCCAUUUUGAAGCUGCAUUCUUAGUGAGCUGUCCAGGAGGUGGGAGGGUCUGGGAGGGAGGGUCUGCUGCUGAUUGGCUGGAAUGUGUCU
This 152-nucleotide microRNA precursor is filed under the name Pelobates cultripes (western spadefoot toad). Lineage: Eukaryota; Metazoa; Chordata; Amphibia; Anura; Pelobatidae. The record is from RNAcentral.